GCUCCGGUGGCCUAGUAUUUAUAGCGUCCGCCUCAGAUGUGGGAGGUCGUGGGUUCAAUCCCCGGUCGAGUCA
This is a non-coding RNA of Potamilus streckersoni, 73 nucleotides long. The record is from the annotation of a GenBank genome assembly. Lineage: Eukaryota; Metazoa; Mollusca; Bivalvia; Unionida; Unionidae.